GAUGAACGCUGACAGAAUGCUUAACACAUGCAAGUCGAUGGGGAAGUGGUGCUUGCACCAUGGCAACCAUGGCGGACGGGUGAGUAACGCGUAAGGGACUUACCUGCAGGACUGGGAUAACAGGGGGAAACUCCUGACAAGACCGGAUAAUGUCAUGGAGCUGCAUGGCUUUAUGAUGAAAGGAGACGCCUGCGGAGAGCCUUGCGUCCUAUUAGCUAGUUGGUGAGGUAAUGGCUCACCAAGGCGAAGAUAGGUAGCCGGCCUGAGAGGGUGGACGGCCACAAGGGGACUGAGAUACGGCCCUUACUCCUACGGGAGGCAGCAGUGGGGAAUAUUGGACAAUGGGGGCAACCCUGACCCAGCAAUUCUGUGUGCACGAAGAAGGUUUUCGGAGUGUAAAGUGCUUUCAGCAGGGAAGAAGUAAGUGACGGUACCUGCAGAAGAAGCGACGGCUAAAUACGUG
RNAcentral lists this ribosomal RNA (463 nucleotides) under uncultured bacterium. RNAcentral describes it as "partial 16S ribosomal RNA". It matches the Rfam family "Bacterial small subunit ribosomal RNA", at positions 28 to 507 of the family's 1533-position model. The record is from RNAcentral.